RNAcentral lists this ribosomal RNA (552 nucleotides) under uncultured Acidobacteriota bacterium. Its description in RNAcentral is "bacterial SSU rRNA". It matches the Rfam family "Bacterial small subunit ribosomal RNA", at positions 355 to 897 of the family's 1533-position model. The record is from RNAcentral. Lineage: Bacteria; Pseudomonadati; Acidobacteriota.
UGGGGAAUUGUUCGCAAUGGGCGCAAGCCUGACGACGCAACGCCGCGUGGAGGAUGAAGGUCUUCGGAUUGUAAACUCCUGUUGACCGGGAAGAACGGGCUCCGACCUAACACGUCGGGGCAGUGACGGUACCGGUUGAGGAAGCCACGGCUAACUCUGUGCCAGCAGCCGCGGUAAUACAGAGGUGGCAAGCGUUGUUCGGAAUUACUGGGCGUAAAGGGCGCGUAGGCGGUCGCCUAAGUCGGACGUGAAAUCCCCAAGCUUAACUUGGGAACUGCGUCCGAUACUGGGUGACUUGAGUUCGGGAGAGGAAUGUGGAAUUCCAGGUGUAGCGGUGAAAUGCGUAGAUAUCUGGAGGAACACCGGUGGCGAAGGCGGCAUUCUGGACCGAAACUGACGCUGAGGCGCGAAAGCCAGGGGAGCAAACGGGAUUAGAUACCCCGGUAGUCCUGGCCCUAAACGAUGAGUGCUUGGUGUGGCGGGUAUCGAUCCCUGCCGUGCCGAAGCUAACGCAUUAAGCACUCCGCCUGGGGAGUACGGUCGCAAGGCUGA